GUAACGGCGAGUGAAGCGGCAACAGCUCAAAUUUGAAAUCUGGCUCCUUCGGGGCCCGAGUUGUAAUUUGCAGAGGAUGCUUCGGGUACGGGUUCCUUCCGAGUUCCCUGGAACGGGACGCCAUAGAGGGUGAGAGCCCCGUCUGGUAGGACACCCAGCCCGUGUGAAGCUCCCUCGACGAGUCGAGUAGUUUGGGAAUGCUGCUCUAACGGGAGGUAUACUCCUUCCAAGGCUAAAUACCGGCUGGAGACCGAUAGCGCACAAGUAGAGUGAUCGAAAGAUGAAAAGCACUUUGAAAAGAGAGUCAAAUAGCACGUGAAAUUGUUGAAAGGGAAGCGCUCGCUACCAGACAUGGGUUCGGCGGUUCAACCGGGGCCACGCCCCGGGGCACUCCGCCGGCCCAGGCCAGCAUCAGCUUUCCGUCGGGGGCAAAGACGUCGGGAAUGUGGCUCCCCUCCGGGGGAGUGUUAUAGCCCGGCGUGUCAUACCCUUCGGGGGGCUGAGGUACGCGCUUCUGCAAGGAUGCUGGCGUAAUGGUAGCUAGUGACCCGUCUUGAAACACGGACCAAGGAGUCAACCUUAUGUGCGAGUGCCCGGGCGUAAAACCCCAGCGCGGAAUGAAAGUGAACGUAGGUGAGAGCUUCGGCGCAUCACCGACCGAUCCUGAUGUCCUCGGACGGAUUUGAGUGAGAGCAUAUAGGGUUGGACCCGAAAGAAGAUGAACUAUGCGUGUGUAGGGUGAAGCCAGAGGAAACUCUGGUGGAGGCUCGCAGCGGUUCUGACGUGCAAAUCG
RNAcentral lists this unclassified non-coding RNA (793 nucleotides) under Gibellulopsis nigrescens. Its description in RNAcentral is "sequence contains 28S rRNA gene". It matches the Rfam family "Eukaryotic large subunit ribosomal RNA", at positions 83 to 900 of the family's 3401-position model. Lineage: Eukaryota; Fungi; Ascomycota; Sordariomycetes; Glomerellales; Plectosphaerellaceae. The record is from RNAcentral.